Balaenoptera musculus (blue whale) is the source of this 141-nucleotide long non-coding RNA. RefSeq lists it as uncharacterized. The transcript is spliced from 3 exons. The record is from RefSeq and is a predicted model, not a curated record. Lineage: Eukaryota; Metazoa; Chordata; Mammalia; Artiodactyla; Balaenopteridae.
UUUUUUGGUGGAGUAAUAUUCCAUUGUGUACAUGGGCCACUUCUUCUUUGUGCAUUCCUCUGUAGAAGGACAUUUUCGUUGCUUCCAAGUGUUGGCUAUGUAAAUUUGAUUUACAGUGUUGUGUUCAUUUCUGCUGUACAG